This 245-nucleotide ribosomal RNA is filed under the name uncultured bacterium. RNAcentral's name for it is "partial 16S ribosomal RNA". It matches the Rfam family "Bacterial small subunit ribosomal RNA", at positions 524 to 768 of the family's 1533-position model. The record is from RNAcentral.
UACGUAGGCAGCAAGCGUUGUUCGGAAUUACUGGGCGUAAAGAGUGCGUAGGCUGUUUGGCAAGUUUGGUGUGAAAUCUCCCGGCUUAACUGGGAGGGUGCGCCGAAAACUGCCGGACUAGAGUGUGGGAGAGGGAAGUGGAAUUCCUGGUGUAGCGGUGAAAUGCGUAGAUAUCAGGAGGAACACCUGCGGUGUAGACGGCUUCCUGGACCACUACUGACGCUGAGGCACGAAAGCGUGGGGAG